GGGAGAAAGAUUUAUCGGGAAAGGAUGAGCCCGCGUUGGAUUAGCUAGUUGGUGGGGUAAAGGCCUACCAAGGCGACGAUCCAUAGCUGGUCUGAGAGGAUGAUCAGCCACAUUGGGACUGAGACACGGCCCAAACUCCUACGGGAGGCAGCAGUGGGGAAUAUUGGACAAUGGGCGCAAGCCUGAUCCAGCCAUGCCGCGUGAGUGAUGAAGGCCCUAGGGUUGUAAAGCUCUUUCACCGGAGAAGAUAAUGACGGUAUCCGGAGAAGAAGCCCCGGCUAACUUCGUGCCAGCAGCCGCGGUAAUACGAAGGGGGCUAGCGUUGUUCGGAAUUACUGGGCGUAAAGCGCACGUAGGCGGAUCGAUCAGUCAGGGGUGAAAUCCCAGGGCUCAACCCUGGAACUGCCUUUGAUACUGUCGAUCUGGAGUAUGGAAGAGGUGAGUGGAAUUCCGAGUGUAGAGGUGAAAUUCGUAGAUAUUCGGAGGAACACCAGUGGCGAAGGCGGCUCCCUGGUCCAUUACUGACGCUCAGGUGCGAAAGCGUGGGGAGCAAACAGGAUUAGAUACCCUGGUAGUCCACGCCCUAAACGAUCAA
RNAcentral lists this ribosomal RNA (595 nucleotides) under Rhizobium sp. Its description in RNAcentral is "bacterial SSU rRNA". It matches the Rfam family "Bacterial small subunit ribosomal RNA", at positions 198 to 813 of the family's 1533-position model. Lineage: Bacteria; Pseudomonadati; Pseudomonadota; Alphaproteobacteria; Hyphomicrobiales; Rhizobiaceae. The record is from RNAcentral.